RNAcentral lists this ribosomal RNA (465 nucleotides) under uncultured bacterium. Its description in RNAcentral is "partial 16S ribosomal RNA". It matches the Rfam family "Bacterial small subunit ribosomal RNA", at positions 338 to 795 of the family's 1533-position model. The record is from RNAcentral.
CCUACGGGCGGCAGCAGUAGGGAAUCUUCCACAAUGGGCGAAAGCCUGAUGGAGCAACGCCGCGUGGGUGAAGAAGGUCUUCGGAUCGUAAAACCCUGUUGUUAGAGAAGAAAGUGCGUGAGAGUAACUGUUCACGUUUCGACGGUAUCUAACCAGAAAGCCACGGCUAACUACGUGCCAGCAGCCGCGGUAAUACGUAGGUGGCAAGCGUUAUCCGGAUUUAGUGGGCGUAAAGGGAACGCAGGCGGUCUUUUAAGUCUGAUGUGAAAGCCUUCGGCUUAACCGGAGUAGUGCAUUGGAUACUGGGAGACUUGAGUGCAGAAGAGGAGGGUGGAACUCCAGGUGUAGCGGUGAAAUGUGUAGAGAUAUGGAAGAAUACCAGUGGCGAAAGCGGCUCUCUGGACUGUAACUGACGCUGAGGUUCGAAAGCGUGGGUAGCAAACAGGAUUAGAUACCCCAGUAGUC